AGCCCUGUAGUGUAGUGGUCAAGCAUGGGGGAUUUUGGGUCCCUUGACCCAGGUUCAAAUCCUGGCAGGGCUA
This 73-nucleotide transfer RNA is filed under the name Candidatus Woesearchaeota archaeon. RNAcentral describes it as "tRNA-Gln". It matches the Rfam family "tRNA". From Rfam's summary of the family: Transfer RNA (tRNA) molecules are approximately 80 nucleotides in length. Their secondary structure includes four short double-helical elements and three loops (D, anti-codon, and T loops). Lineage: Archaea; Nanobdellati; Candidatus Woesearchaeota. The record is from RNAcentral.